GGGACGUUAGCAUAACUGGUAAUGCACUAGGUUCUUACCCUAGCAAAUCUCGGUUCGAAGCCGAGGCAUCCCACCA
This 76-nucleotide transfer RNA is filed under the name Gammaproteobacteria bacterium. RNAcentral describes it as "tRNA-Lys". It matches the Rfam family "tRNA". Rfam says of the family: Transfer RNA (tRNA) molecules are approximately 80 nucleotides in length. Their secondary structure includes four short double-helical elements and three loops (D, anti-codon, and T loops). The record is from RNAcentral. Lineage: Bacteria; Pseudomonadati; Pseudomonadota; Gammaproteobacteria.